GAUGAACGCUGGCGGCGUGCCUAAUACAUGCAAGUCGAGCGAACAGACGAGGAGCUUGCUCCUCUGACGUUAGCGGCGGACGGGUGAGUAACACGUGGAUAACCUACCUAUAAGACUGGGAUAACUUCGGGAAACCGGAGCUAAUACCGGAUAAUAUAUUGAACCGCAUGGUUCAAUAGUGAAAGACGGUUUUGCUGUCACUUAUAGAUGGAUCCGCGCCGCAUUAGCUAGUUGGUAAGGUAACGGCUUACCAAGGCAACGAUGCGUAGCCGACCUGAGAGGGUGAUCGGCCACACUGGAACUGAGACACGGUCCAGACUCCUACGGGAGGCAGCAGUAGGGAAUCUUCCGCAAUGGGCGAAAGCCUGACGGAGCAACGCCGCGUGAGUGAUGAAGGUCUUCGGAUCGUAAAGCUCUGUUAUUAGGGAAGAACAAAUGUGUAAGUAACUAUGCACGUCCUGACGGUACCUAAUCAGAAAGCCACGGCUAACUACGUG
RNAcentral lists this ribosomal RNA (497 nucleotides) under uncultured bacterium. RNAcentral's name for it is "partial 16S ribosomal RNA". It matches the Rfam family "Bacterial small subunit ribosomal RNA", at positions 28 to 507 of the family's 1533-position model. The record is from RNAcentral.